RNAcentral lists this unclassified non-coding RNA (253 nucleotides) under Candidatus Kaiserbacteria bacterium. Its description in RNAcentral is "contains 16S-23S intergenic spacer region". It matches the Rfam family "Bacterial small subunit ribosomal RNA", at positions 524 to 776 of the family's 1533-position model. The record is from RNAcentral. Lineage: Bacteria; Candidatus Kaiseribacteriota.
UACAGAAGCCUCGAGCGUUACCCGGAUUUACUGGGCGUAAAGGGUGCGUAGGCGGUUAUAUUAGUCUUGUGUUAAAUCUUCAGGCUCAACCUGAAGCUCGCGCGGGAAACGGUAUAACUAGAAGAAGUGAGAGGUGAACAGAACUCUCGGUGUAGGGGUGAAAUCCGUUGAUAUCGAGGGGAAUACCAAAUGCGAAGGCAGUUCACUGGCACUUUCUUGACGCUGAGGCACGAAAGCGUGGGUAGCGAACGGG